UACGUAGGGGGCAAGCGUUGUCCGGAAUCAUUGGGCGUAAAGCGCGCGUAGGCGGCUUCGUAAGUCCGUUGUGAAAGUCAAAGGCUCAACCUUUGAAAGCCGAUGGAUACUGUGAAGCUAGAGUACGGAAGAGGCGAGUGGAAUUCCUGGUGUAGCGGUGGAAUGCGCAGAUAUCAGGAGGAACACCAAUAGCGAAGGCAGCUCGCUGGGACGUUACUGACACUGAGGCGCGAAAGCGUGGGGAGCGAACAGG
This 253-nucleotide ribosomal RNA is filed under the name uncultured bacterium. Its description in RNAcentral is "partial 16S ribosomal RNA". It matches the Rfam family "Bacterial small subunit ribosomal RNA", at positions 524 to 776 of the family's 1533-position model. The record is from RNAcentral.